AACGCUAGCUACAGGCUUAACACACGCAAGUCGAGGGGUAGCACAGAGGAAGCUUGCUUCUUUGGGUGACGACCGGCGCACGGGUGAGUAACGCGUAUCCGACCUACCCAUAACACGGGCACAGCCGCUCGAAAGAGUGAUUGAUUCCCGAUAUGUCAUUAGAGUAGAUCUAAUGAUGAAAGAUUCAUCGGUUAUGGAUGGGGAUGCGUAAGAUUAGGUAGUAGGCGGGGUAACGGCCCACCUAGCCGACGAUCUUUAGGGGUUCUGAGAGGAAGGUCCCCCACACUGGUACUGAGACACGGACCAGACUCCUACGGGAGGCAGCAGUGAGGAAUAUUGGUCAAUGGGCGGAAGCCUGAACCAGCCAAGUAGCGUGAAGGAUUACAGCCCUACGGGUUUUAAACUUCUUUUAUAUAAGAGUAAUGUGCACUACGUGUAGUGUAUUGCAAGUAUUAUAUGAAUAAGCAUCGGCUAACUCCGUGCCAGCAGCCGCGGUAAUACGGAGGAUGCGAGCGUUAUCCGGAUUUAUUGGGUUUAAAGGGAGCGUAGGCGGGAUAUUAAGUCAGUCGUCAAAGCCUGUGGCUCAACCACAGCCCGCGAUUGAUACUGGUAACCUUGAGUGCGGAUGAGGUGGAUGGAAUUCGUGGUGUAGCGGUGAAAUGCUUAGAUAUCACGAAGAACUCCGAUUG
This 689-nucleotide ribosomal RNA is filed under the name uncultured bacterium. RNAcentral describes it as "bacterial SSU rRNA". It matches the Rfam family "Bacterial small subunit ribosomal RNA", at positions 32 to 715 of the family's 1533-position model. The record is from RNAcentral.